AAUGAACGUUGGCGGCGUGGAUUAGGCAUGCAAGUCGUACGGUAAGCUUCGGCUUAUAGUGGCGAAAGGGAGAGUAACGCGUGGUUACAUGCCCUCGGGACCGGGAUAGCGGCGGGAAACUGCCGGUAAUACCGGAUAAUAUCUUUGGAUCAAAGGUGUGAUUCCGCCCGAGGAUUGGACCGCGUUCUAUUAGCUUGUUGGCGGGGUAAUGGCCCACCAAGGCGACGAUGGAUACCAGGUGUGAGAGCAUGGCCCGGCGCACUGGGACUGGGACACUGCCCAGACACCUACGGGUGGCUGCAGUCGAGAAUCUUCGGCAAUGGGGGCAACCCUGACCGAGCGACGCCGCGUGCGGGACGAAGGCCUUCGGGUUGUAAACCGCUGUCAGUUGGGAGGAAGUGCCGGGGGGUUCUCCCCUCGGUUUGACCGAUCUUCAGAGGAAGGACGGGCUAAGUUCGUGCCAGCAGCCGCAGUAA
This 476-nucleotide ribosomal RNA is filed under the name uncultured bacterium. RNAcentral's name for it is "partial 16S ribosomal RNA". It matches the Rfam family "Bacterial small subunit ribosomal RNA", at positions 28 to 523 of the family's 1533-position model. The record is from RNAcentral.